Molecule: ribosomal RNA, 506 nt
Filed under: uncultured bacterium
Lineage: Bacteria
Description: partial 16S ribosomal RNA
Rfam family: Bacterial small subunit ribosomal RNA
Source: RNAcentral
AGUGAACGCUGGCGGUAGGCCUAACACAUGCAAGUCGAACGGCAGCACAGGAGAGCUUGCUCUCUGGGUGGCGAGUGGCGGACGGGUGAGGAAUACAUCGGAAUCUACUUUUUUGUGGGGGAUAACGUAGGGAAACUUACGCUAAUACCGCAUACGACCUACGGGUGAAAGCAGGGGACCUUCGGGCCUUGCGCGAUUGAAUGAGCCGAUGUCGGAUUAGCUAGGUGGCGGGGUAAAGGCCCACCAAGGCGACGAUCCGUAGCUGGUCUGAGAGGAUGAUCAGCCAGACUGGAACUGAGACCCGGUCCAGACUCCUACGGGAGGCAGCAGUGGGGCAUAUUGGACAAUGGGCGCAAGCCUGAUCCAGCCAUACCGCGUGGGUGAAGAAGGCCUUCGGGUUGUAAAGCCCUUUUGUUGGGAAAGAAAUCCAGCCGGCUAAUACCUGGUCGGGAUGACGGUACCCAAAGAAUAAGCACCGGCUAACUUCGUGCCAGCCGCCGCAGUAA